UCCUUUUGCCUAUAGGAAGAAGACUACAGGGGGCCAGCCCAGCAGUGUAGUGGUUAAGACUGCACAUUCCAAGUCAGCUGUGGGGGGGGUUCCUGGGUUCAGACCUACGCACUGCUCGUCAAGCCAUGCUGUGGCGGCGUCCCACAUAGAAGAACUAAAAGAACCUACAACUAGGAUAUACAACUAUGUACUGGGGGACUUUGAGGAGAAAAAGAAAAAAAGAGAGGAAGAUUGGCAACAGAUGUCGCCAGCUCAGGGCCAAUCUUCCUCACCAAAAACAAAAUGACAUUAGACUUGAAUAAGUGGAGAUACAGAAUGUCCGUGGAUAGGAAGACAACUUUCUUCCUCCAAAUUAAUCUAUAAACUCAAUGUAAUUCCAGUAAAAAUCCUAACAUAAUUUUUCAAUGGUACUUGACAAUUUAAUCCUCAAACUCAUAGAAAAAGCCAGGGCUCAAAAUCAGUAAAAACUAUUUUGAAAAACAGGUAAGGAGUGGGCAGAGGAGACUUGCCCUACCAGAUAUCAAGAUGUGAAAGCCAUGGUAUUGACGGUAUAGUCUCAGCACAGGAAAGACAGAAAGGAAUCAAGGAACAGAUCAACACACAAGUGGAAACUGGCUCAAUGACAGAGGCAGCAUUUCAAUCAGUGAGGAAAAGUUGGGCAAUAAACUGUGCUAGGACACGUGGUUAUCCACACGGAAAAUAUUAGAGACUUCACACCAUAAACAAAAAUAAUUCCAAAGUGGAUUAAUAAGCUCAAUUGAAAGGCAAAAUCAUAAAACAUUUAGAGGAAAAUAUUUUUAAGACACUAGGCAGAGAAUUUCUUCAGAAAGACAGAAAAGCUACAACUCAUAGAUUCAAUAAAACUUUUGUAAAACAACAACACACACCCACAACACCAUAAACAAAGUUAAAAGAUAAGCCCCAGACUGAGAAAAGAUAUUAUCAGCCCAACUAUCUCUAAAAUAAUAUGUAUCCGGAAUUUAUUAAGAAUGUUUAAAAAUCAAUGCCAAAAUGCAAAUAACCAAAAAAGCACAUGGGUAAAGGAGCAGAUAGGUAAUUCCCUUCGGAGGAAACAUGGAUCAUAAACUUA
Molecule: long non-coding RNA, 1090 nt
Filed under: Equus caballus (horse)
Lineage: Eukaryota; Metazoa; Chordata; Mammalia; Perissodactyla; Equidae
Description: lncRNA (ENSECAG00000057825.1)
Source: RNAcentral